UGGGGAAUAUUGCACAAUGGGCGCAAGCCUGAUGCAGCCAUGCCGCGUGUGUGAAGAAGGCCUUCGGGUUGUAAAGCACUUUGAGCGGGGAGGAAGGCGAUAAGGUUAAUAACCUUGUCGAUUGACGUUACCCGCAGAAGAAGCACCGGCUAACUCCGUGCCAGCAGCCGCGGUAAUACGGAGGGUGCAAGCGUUAAUCGGAAUUACUGGGCGUAAAGCGCACGCAGGCGGUUUGUUAAGUCAGAUGUGAAAUCCCCGGGCUCAACCUGGGAACUGCAUCUGAUACUGGCAAGCUUGAGUCUCGUAGAGGGGGGUAGAAUUCCAGGUGUAGCGGUGAAAUGCGUAGAGAUCUGGAGGAAUACCGGUGGCGAAGGCGGCCCCCUGGACGAAGACUGACGCUCAGGUGCGAAAGCGUGGGGAGCAAACAGG
RNAcentral lists this ribosomal RNA (429 nucleotides) under Chloroflexota bacterium. RNAcentral describes it as "Chloroflexi bacterium partial 16S ribosomal RNA". It matches the Rfam family "Bacterial small subunit ribosomal RNA", at positions 355 to 776 of the family's 1533-position model. Lineage: Bacteria; Bacillati; Chloroflexota. The record is from RNAcentral.